Long non-coding RNA from Pocillopora damicornis (cauliflower coral), 1132 nucleotides. The record is from RefSeq and is a predicted model, not a curated record. Lineage: Eukaryota; Metazoa; Cnidaria; Anthozoa; Scleractinia; Pocilloporidae.
ACUUUAAAUCAGUUCGAGGCUCCUCGAACUUCUCAUAGCCUUGGCACGCGUCUGUUGGUCAAUUAGAGACAGAAGACAGCAAUGAAUGUAGAACUCCGAGUUUUUUUGUGAAACGAGACUUAAACCUGUUCCCCCUUGCUGUCUCGUCCACUCAUCGUGGGUUUAAAGCAGCAAGAACUUCAAAACCUUGAACUGCGACAAGUUUGGCAAACAAGUCACAGGAUCCAAAUAGCAAUGAAAGGGCAUGAAAAUAAAUACAUUCAAUGUGAACAGUGUCGUUCAGUGCAAAAAAUUUAAAACGGAGACUCAUGGUUAUUCUAACCACGUUUCCGUGCUGGUGAGAACGAAAAGAUACCAAGAAGCCGAAAAGAAUGGAAAUUUGUGAUCAAAAAAACUUUCGUUUCUUUCCAAGUUGAAACUGGGUUAACGGUUUCUGUAGGAAUCUAAUCUAGGAACAAUAAAUCUUUUACCAAGCUGAUUAAAUCCUGAGGCACGCUUCCGAGUAGCUUAACCCUGGGUUAACAGCCUCUUCAAAGAUUCCAUGUAUUGUUGUAUUGUCCUCAUAUUUGAGAAAAUGUCAAUCAUCACCCCGAUCUAAAAAGUCGCAAACUGUCUGCUUUUGGGCGUGGUUAUGGCGAACCUCAUGGACGGUUUUCAUAAAAAAGGCUUAUAGUGGCUACGACAUACUCAACUUUCAAUUUUUUUAAAGCUACCGCUCUAUUUUACCAUGCUUCUAUGUCCUGAUACAAACACCAGAAGUUCUAAGAACUAGCAAUUAUUAUAUUAUCGUGUUGAAAAUCGUGUUACCCAAAAUUUAAAACUGUUUCGACAUACUGAAACCCUUCACACUUGUACGAGUGAAUUUUUUAGUUUCGUACAACUUUCACCUUGAUAUUAUUACUGUACAAGGCACCUUUAUAUUCCUGGGUCGGUCAUGGAUGCAGAUUGUGUUGGUGCUUGCAAUCUCAGCUGCCAUUCAAGUCUUUAAAAUAAGGGUCUUAAAUUACGAUCCGCUAUCAGCUGUAAGGUUCAAAGUUGUUUCAACUGGUUUUCAUCCAAGUUAAUGAUUUAGGUAAGCAUAAGAUUGUGACCUCUGGGAAUAAUUCCAAAAUGAAACACGCAAUAAGUGUUU